RNAcentral lists this ribosomal RNA (468 nucleotides) under uncultured bacterium. RNAcentral describes it as "partial 16S ribosomal RNA". It matches the Rfam family "Bacterial small subunit ribosomal RNA", at positions 28 to 507 of the family's 1533-position model. The record is from RNAcentral.
GACGAACGCUGGCGGCGUGCUUAACACAUGCAAGUCGAACGGAAAGGCCCGGCUUUUGUGGGGUGCUCGAGUGGCGAACGGGUGAGUAACACGUGAGUAACCUGCCCUUGACUUUGGGAUAACUUCAGGAAACUGGGGCUAAUACCGGAUAGGAUCUCCUGCUGCAUGGUGGGGGUUGGAAAGUUUCGGCGGUUGGGGAUGGACUCGCGGCUUAUCAGCUUGUUUGUGGGGUAGUGGCUUACCAAGGCUUUGACGGGUAGCCGGCCUGAGAGGGUGACCGGGCACAUUGGGACUGAGAUACGGCCCAGACUCCUACGGGCGGCAGCAGUGGGGAAUAUUGCACAAUGGGCGGAAGCCUGAUGCAGCAACGCCGCGUGCGGGAUGACGGCCUUCGGGUUGUAAACCGCUUUCGCCUGUGACGAAGCGUGAGUGACGGUAAUGGGUAAAGAAGCACCGGCUAACUACGUG